RNAcentral lists this ribosomal RNA (943 nucleotides) under Lactarius sp. (in: basidiomycete fungi). RNAcentral's name for it is "Lactarius sp. (in: Russulaceae) partial large subunit ribosomal RNA". It matches the Rfam family "Eukaryotic large subunit ribosomal RNA", at positions 37 to 954 of the family's 3401-position model. The record is from RNAcentral. Lineage: Eukaryota; Fungi; Basidiomycota; Agaricomycetes; Russulales; Russulaceae.
AGCAUAUCAAUAAGCGGAGGAAAAGAAACUAACAAGGGAUUCCCCUAGUAACUGCGAGUGAAGCGGGAAAAGCUCAAAUUUAAAAUCUGGUGGUCUUUGGCCAUCCGAGUUGUAAUUUAGAGAAGCGUCUUCCGCGCUGGACCGUGCACAAGUCUCCUGGAAUGGAGCGUCAUAGAGGGUGAGAAUCCCGUCUUUGGCACGGAUGCCCCGGUGCUUCUGUGAUGCGCUCUCGAAGAGUCGAGUUGUUUGGGAAUGCAGCUCAAAAUGGGUGGUGAACUCCAUCUAAAGCUAAAUAUUGGCGAGAGACCGAUAGCGAACAAGUACCGUGAGGGAAAGAUGAAAAGCACUUUGGAAAGAGAGUGAAACAGUACGUGAAAUUGUUGAAAGGGAAACGCUUGAAGUCAGUCGCGUCGAUCGAGACUCAGCCUUGCCUCGGCUUGGUGUACUUCUCGGCUCGACGGGUCAGCAUCAAUUUUGCACCUCGGAUAAUGGCAGGGGAAAGGUGGCACCUUUACGGGUGUGUUAUAGUCUCUUGUCGCAUGCGAGGGGUGGGAUUGAGGAACUCAGCACGCACCUCGGUGUCGGGGCUUUUUUGCCCACGUCACGUGCUUAGGAUGCUGGCGUAAUGGCUUUAAACGACCCGUCUUGAAACACGGACCAAGGAGUCCAACACGCCCGCGAGUGUUCGGGUGGAAAACCCGUGCGCGUAAUGAAAGUGAAAGUUGGGACCUCUGUCGUGGAGGGCACCGACGCCCGGACCAGACCUUCUGUGACGGAUCUGCGGUAGAGCGUGUGUGUUGGGACCCGAAAGAUGGUGAACUAUGCCUGAAUAGGGUGAAGCCAGAGGAAACUCUGGUGGAGGCUCGUAGCGAUUCUGACGUGCAAAUCGAUCGUCAAAUUUGGGUAUAGGGGCGAAAGACUAAUCGAACCAUCUAGUAGCUGG